Penaeus monodon (black tiger shrimp) is the source of this 785-nucleotide long non-coding RNA. RefSeq lists it as uncharacterized. NCBI's taxonomy places the organism in Eukaryota, Metazoa, Arthropoda, Malacostraca, Decapoda, Penaeidae. The transcript is spliced from 4 exons. The record is from RefSeq and is a predicted model, not a curated record.
AAUAUUGUCAGCUUAAUGAAAUUAUAAAAAUUAAAAGAAAAAGGUCAGACAAUUCGGACACUCUAAGCAUGAGUUGCCAGUUGUUGUUUUCUCUCUCUCUCUCCUGAGAUGGAACGCAUUAUAACCAAACCUCAAAAUUAGAACAAUGAUACCAUUUCCCACCCCACAUCGUAUAAAAAAAUAUAUAAUUAAGUCAACAACCCCACCCCCCUUCAAAAAAUGUAAUAAAAACGCCCCUAUACACUUUACGAAGAUGCAACGCCUCGAGCAAAUGCAUCAAAGAAUUGUUCCUGUGCGACGGAUACGCAGACUGUCCGAACAGCGACGACGAAGCCAGUGCCACGUGCGCCGUCUGCCCUGCUGCCAAGCCCCUGCGAUGCCCGUCUGGCGAAUGCAUAAGCGAAGCGUGGCUGUGCGACCUGGCCGCUGAGUGCAAGGAUGGGUGGGACGAGUCGAACUGCACCAACUGCCCCGCCCAGACGCCCUUCAGGUGCAACGUUACAGGAAAAUGCCUUCCCUUAGUAUGGGUUUGCGAUGGCGAGAGCGACUGUUCCACCGCGCAAGAACAGGACGACACCGACGAGGCCUCCUGCGACCCGUGUCCCGCCUUCAAAGCCAACCGGUGCGCAGACGACUCCGCCUGCUACCCCGACAGCUGGCGGUGCAACGAGCAGAGCGACUGCGCUGACGGCUCGGAUGAGAGGAACUGCUUCGUGUAGAAUUCUGGGCGAAGGGAGGGAAGGAGGGAGGGAGGAAGGAAGGAAGGAGGGAGGAAGGAAGGAUGG